RNAcentral lists this ribosomal RNA (555 nucleotides) under Scheffersomyces stipitis. RNAcentral's name for it is "eukaryotic LSU rRNA". It matches the Rfam family "Eukaryotic large subunit ribosomal RNA", at positions 81 to 655 of the family's 3401-position model. Lineage: Eukaryota; Fungi; Ascomycota; Pichiomycetes; Serinales; Debaryomycetaceae. The record is from RNAcentral.
UAGUACGGCGAGUGAAGCGGCAAAAGCUCAAAUUUGAAAUCUGGCACCUUCGGUGUCCGAGUUGUAAUUUGAAGAAGGUAACUUUGGAGUCAGCUCUUGUCUAUGUUCCUUGGAACAGGACGUCACAGAGGGUGAGAAUCCCGUGCGAUGAGAUGUCUGAUUCUAUGUAAAGUGCUUUCGAAGAGUCGAGUUGUUUGGGAAUGCAGCUCUAAGUGGGUGGUAAAUUCCAUCUAAAGCUAAAUAUUGGCGAGAGACCGAUAGCGAACAAGUACAGUGAUGGAAAGAUGAAAAGAACUUUGAAAAGAGAGUGAAAAAGUACGUGAAAUUGUUGAAAGGGAAGGGUUUGAGAUCAGACUUGGUAUUUUGUAUGUCUUGCUUUCGGGUGGGGCCUCUACAGUUUACUGGGCCAGCAUCGGUUUGGACGGUAGGAUAAUGACAUUGGAAUGUGGCACCACUUCGGUGGUGUGUUAUAGACUUUGUUGAUACUGCCUGUCUAGACCGAGGACUGCGUCUUUGACUAGGAUGCUGGCAUAAUGAUCUUAAACCGCCCGUCUU